Molecule: ribosomal RNA, 497 nt
Filed under: uncultured bacterium
Lineage: Bacteria
Description: partial 16S ribosomal RNA
Rfam family: Bacterial small subunit ribosomal RNA
Source: RNAcentral
GAUGAACGCUGGCGGCGUGCCUAAUACAUGCAAGUCGAGCGAACGGACGAGAAGCUUGCUUUUCUGAUGUUAGCGGCGGACGGGUGAGUAACACGUGGAUAACCUACCUAUAAGACUGGGAUAACUUCGGGAAACCGGAGCUAAUACCGGAUAAUAUUUUGAACCGCAUGGUUCAAAAGUGAAAGACGGUCUUGCUGUCACUUAUAGAUGGAUCCGCACUGCAUUAGCUAGUUGGUAAGGUAACGGCUUACCAAGGCAACGAUGCAUAGCCGACCUGAGAGGGUGAUCGGCCACACUGGAACUGAGACACGGUCCAGACUCCUACGGGAGGCAGCAGUAGGGAAUCUUCCGCAAUGGGCGAAAGCCUGACGGAGCAACGCCGCGUGAGUGAUGAAGGUCUUCGGAUCGUAAAACUCUGUUAUUAGGGAAGAACAUAUGUGUAAGUAACUGUGCACAUCUUGACGGUACCUAAUCAGAAAGCCACGGCUAACUACGUG